This 497-nucleotide ribosomal RNA is filed under the name uncultured bacterium. Its description in RNAcentral is "partial 16S ribosomal RNA". It matches the Rfam family "Bacterial small subunit ribosomal RNA", at positions 28 to 507 of the family's 1533-position model. The record is from RNAcentral.
GAUGAACGCUGGCGGCGUGCCUAAUACAUGCAAGUCGAGCGAACGGACGAGAAGCUUGCUUCUCUGAUGUUAGCGGCGGACGGGUGAGUAACACGUGGAUAACCUGCCUAUAAGACUGGGAUAACUUCGGGAAACCGGAGCUAAUACCGGAUGAUAUUUUGAACCGCAUGGUUCAAAAGUGAAAGACGGUUUUGCUGUCACUUAUAGAUGGAUCCGCGCUGCAUUAGCUAGUUGGUAAGGUAACGGCUUACCAAGGCAACGAUGCAUAGCCGACCUGAGAGGGUGAUCGGCCACACUGGAACUGAGACACGGUCCAGACUCCUACGGGAGGCAGCAGUAGGGAAUCUUCCGCAAUGGGCGAAAGCCUGACGGAGCAACGCCGCGUGAGUGAUGAAGGUCUUCGGAUCGUAAAACUCUGUUAUUAGGGAAGAACAUAUGUGUAAGUAACUGUGCACAUCUUGACGGUACCUAAUCAGAAAGCCACGGCUAACUACGUG